RNAcentral lists this ribosomal RNA (253 nucleotides) under uncultured bacterium. RNAcentral describes it as "partial 16S ribosomal RNA". It matches the Rfam family "Bacterial small subunit ribosomal RNA", at positions 524 to 776 of the family's 1533-position model. The record is from RNAcentral.
UACGGAGGGUGCGAGCGUUAAUCGGAAUUACUGGGCGUAAAGGGUGCGUCGGUGGUUUAUUAAGUUAUCUGUGAACUUCCUGGGCUUAACCUAGGGUGGUCAGAUAAGACUGAUGGACUCGAGUAUAGGAGAGGGUAGUGGAAUUUCCGGUGGAGCGGUGAAAUGCGUAGAGAUCGGAAGGAACACCAGUGGCGAAGGCGGCUACCUGGCCAGAUACUGACACUGAGGCACGAAAGCGUGGGGAGCAAGCAGG